GACGAACGCUGGCGGCGUGCUUAACACAUGCAAGUCGAACGGAAAGGCCCUGCUUUUGUGGGGUGCUCGAGUGGCGAACGGGUGAGUAACACGUGAGUAACCUGCCCUUGACUUUGGGAUAACUUCAGGAAACUGGGGCUAAUACCGGAUAGGAGCUCCUGUUGCAUGGUGGGGGUUGGAAAGUUUAGGCGGUUGGGGGUGGACUCGCGGCUUAUCAGCUUGUGGGUGGGGUAGUGGCUUACCAACGCUUUCAGGGGUAGCCGGCCUGGGAGGGUGACCGGCCAAAUUGGGCCUGGAAUAGGGCCCAGACCCCUACGGGGGGCAGCGGGGGGGAAUAUUGCACAAUGGGGGGAACCCGGAUGCAGCAACGCCGCGUGCGGGAUGACGGCCUUCGGGUUUUAAACCGCUUUCGCCUGUGACGAAGCGUGAGUGACGGUAAUGGGUAAAGAAGCACCGGCUAACUACGUG
This 468-nucleotide ribosomal RNA is filed under the name uncultured bacterium. Its description in RNAcentral is "partial 16S ribosomal RNA". It matches the Rfam family "Bacterial small subunit ribosomal RNA", at positions 28 to 507 of the family's 1533-position model. The record is from RNAcentral.